This 292-nucleotide long non-coding RNA is filed under the name Volvox carteri. Its description in RNAcentral is "long non-coding RNA (VCAR_LNC003349)". The record is from RNAcentral. Lineage: Eukaryota; Viridiplantae; Chlorophyta; Chlorophyceae; Chlamydomonadales; Volvocaceae.
CAACGGAUUAUGCAUAGCGAAGAUGUAGGAUUAGCUCAUCAGGAUAGCAACGAUGACUGCAUUAUUAUGCAGAAGUGAUGGACCUUACGCGAGAUGGUGCCGACCGACCCCCACUGGGACGCCGCCGACUGAAUAACGGAGCCGCUGUGAGCACGAACAGGUGCUUAUGCACAUUGGAAGGUCUUAGUACAGUGCACAGGCUUGCGCGGGAGGGCUCCAUGCAGCGGGUUACACAGGCCAAGAGUGGACAUGACCGCCAACCGGGGUAACCCCACGAGCAUGCCAUGCCCGG